GGCUGGUCUGAGUGCAGUGUUGUUCACAAAUUAUUGAUCACAACCAGUAAUAGUUAUCUUUGCUCCUUUUCCACUCACACUAUUUCACUUGACUAGUCUUAA
Molecule: Y RNA, 102 nt
Filed under: Carlito syrichta (Philippine tarsier)
Lineage: Eukaryota; Metazoa; Chordata; Mammalia; Primates; Tarsiidae
Description: Y RNA (ENSTSYG00000026778.1)
Rfam family: Y RNA
About the family: Y RNAs are components of the Ro ribonucleoprotein particle (Ro RNP), in association with Ro60 and La proteins.
Source: Rfam by way of RNAcentral